GCUGUCUGGUUGGGGUUCUCCUUCUUGUUGAUGUGGACCGACAGUCGCUGCCACAGGUGCUGCCCCCGGCUGCUCUUCUCAUUCUGGGCCCAUGUCACGGAUUUCCCGUUGGAGCUGCGAAGAGAAGAGAGGGAAGGGCAGCCCCUGUGCUCCGAAGGCUACUCUAAUGAAGGUGGAGAUAAUGCCUCAACUUCAGAAUCUGCAUCCUUCUUUCUGCCGAAAUGACAGGCUCUGAAUGUCAGGUCAGUGACCUCAUCACUCUCUCUAUUCAUCUGCCCAAAUCUGAGGAAAUUAGAGCAUCUUGCCCCAGCAUGCCAUCAUUAGGCAGUACACAUCAGAGUCUGACAAGCACAAAGGUCUGUGGAAUAUAUAAUGUUUGUGUUAAUAUUAAAUGGAUUUGAAGAAUCUGUGUGGUUCUGUUCCUCCCCAGAGUUAAUUUAGGGUUGUGGUGUGAUAAAAAGGAAGCAUAUAAGCACUAUUUUCUUUUCAUUUUGCUGAAUUAAAAGAAAAUAAAACAAACCCUAACACUU
Molecule: long non-coding RNA, 530 nt
Organism: Meriones unguiculatus (Mongolian gerbil)
Lineage: Eukaryota; Metazoa; Chordata; Mammalia; Rodentia; Muridae
Exons: 3
Source: RefSeq, a predicted model, not a curated record